Plectropomus leopardus (leopard coralgrouper) is the source of this 1401-nucleotide non-coding RNA. The record is from RefSeq and is a predicted model, not a curated record. NCBI's taxonomy places the organism in Eukaryota, Metazoa, Chordata, Actinopteri, Perciformes, Serranidae.
UAAAGCAAAAAUCGUGAUUAAGAAAUACCUGGAUAAAUGUUCGUUUUUGCCAAGUGUGUAUUAAGCACUCUUGACUGAAUGUUUUGUUUUAAGGAAGUGCUGUGAGACGUUUUUAAGAAACGGAAGCGGAUGUUACAUGCGAUGCUACCAUAGCUAGCUAGCUAACGGUUGAGCGUCGCUAGCAAACUUUAUGAAUACAGGUCGUUUAUUUUAACGUUGAAGAAAAAAAGUAUUAGUGGCUGAGCGUCUUAGUUUUUUUUCAGUGUCACAAAGGCCAGUUUACAUCCCUACAUUUGAGUUUUUCACGAAGGCCACCGAGAUUGGCCACCGUGUCAUGCUAACCUGCAUGUUGUACAUGCUCCAACAUUGUACACAGUCUUUGCUGCUCACAGCAACAAAGUCCUCACUUUGCUCAAAGAUGAGACGGAUGGAGCUACCUGUCGAUCAUAAACGGGGACACAAGGUGUUGGACGAGGUCCUCACGUUGCAGCAAGAUUGGACUGAUGGAGCUACCUGUCGAUCAGAAAUGGGGACACAAGUGUACGAUCUGGAUGUGGAAGGAUGCUGUGCUGUGGAGUUUCUCAGUGUCCUCUGCCCCCCCUCCCUCAAGCAGGACAAUCGUGUCCCUGACCUGGAGGGCCAGGUCCUUCAUUGCUCAAGCCUGAAGGUGGGAGAGUUCGAGGUCAUGGUGAUUGCAGGAUGAUUGGCCAUUUUGAACAUGAUGAACAAAACGUAUCCUGCCUGGAAAAAUUUCCUCUCACAACUUGUGGGAGAACUCCAACCUGAGAGCUGGCAGACUCACGCCCAGAAAACUUUGCAAGCCCCACAGCAGCAGCAGCAGCAGCAGCAGCCGCUGGUGUAAGCACAGGUCACAACCGGAGUUCAGCCCGGACCUCCACCUGCUGCACACAUUGUGUCCUUGAUCCCUGAGCUGCCGCAGUCCCUGGAUUCAACGAAAGCUGGGAAACACAGUUCCGGCUAUGUCUCCUUCCGACUGCCCAUCAUUGUGACCCAAAUCCUGCCUCCAUUAUGCUUUAUCUGAGAUUCUAUCUAGGGACCUGAACACCAGCGUGCAAGUUCUUACACAGAUGGACGAGGUGUUGGACCAGAUCGCAAGUGACGGUCAACAACAUCAGCAGUGCUGCGGCUGCAUGCACCAACACUGAUGACCACCUUGGAAAGACCUCGUGCAGCUCUGCAGCUGUACUGUGGGCUUAUUGCUGGUGAGCAACACAGGGGGGAAGGUUUGCUACAUUAAUUUUCAAAUAAAUUUAUCUCUUACUGUCGUCACCAAAAGAAGAGAAAAAAAACAUGACAACACAUACUGGAAUACAUAUGCACAAACCCAAUAGUAGUCGAAGUAAUAAUGAUAAUAACAACAAUAGCAGCAAUAAUUAAUAA